ACAAGCGGCGGAGCAUGUGGAUUAAUUCGAUGCAACGCGAAGAACCUUACCUGGGUUUGACAUACACCGGAAAACCGUAGAGAUACGGUCCCCCUUGUGGUCGGUGUACAGGUGGUGCAUGGCUGUCGUCAGCUCGUGUCGUGAGAUGUUGGGUUAAGUCCCGCAACGAGCGCAACCCUUGUCUUAUGUUGCCAGCACGUGAUGGUGGGGACUCGUAAGAGACUGCCGGGGUCAACUCGGAGGAAGGUGGGGACGACGUCAAGUCAUCAUGCCCCUUAUGUCCAGGGCUUCACACAUGCUACAAUGGCCAGUACAGAGGGCUGCGAGACCGUGAGGUGGAGCGAAUCCCUUAAAGCUGGUCUCAGUUCGGAUCGGGGUCUGCAACUCGACCCCGUGAAGUCGGAGUCGCUAGUAAUCGCAGAUCAGCAACGCUGCGGUGAAUACGUUCCCGGGCCUU
RNAcentral lists this ribosomal RNA (457 nucleotides) under uncultured Rhodococcus sp. RNAcentral's name for it is "bacterial SSU rRNA". It matches the Rfam family "Bacterial small subunit ribosomal RNA", at positions 925 to 1382 of the family's 1533-position model. Lineage: Bacteria; Bacillati; Actinomycetota; Actinomycetes; Mycobacteriales; Nocardiaceae. The record is from RNAcentral.